RNAcentral lists this ribosomal RNA (297 nucleotides) under Triticum aestivum (bread wheat). RNAcentral's name for it is "partial small subunit ribosomal RNA". The record is from RNAcentral. Lineage: Eukaryota; Viridiplantae; Streptophyta; Magnoliopsida; Poales; Poaceae.
AUGCGCCUCUCGACGCCGUACUGCGCAUCAUCGACCAGGACCCUGGCCGCCGCCGCCACGGUCUCCUCCUCCACUCGUGCAUCUACCCAGGAAUCCAGGAGGCAUCACCUGGCCUUCUCUGUGCCGGAUUCCGACAGGUUUGCGACCAAGCUGAAGAACCCUGGCACAGACUUGUUCGCGAAGACGCAACCCGAUGGCCGCGCGCGCCAGGUGUUCUUCCUCGACCGGGACGGGAAUCAAAUUUUCAAUGGAGGAAGAUGGCCUCAGCUUUUUUGGUUGCUACUGUAUCUCCAAUAG